This is a non-coding RNA of Lactuca sativa (garden lettuce), 1700 nucleotides long. The record is from RefSeq and is a predicted model, not a curated record. NCBI's taxonomy places the organism in Eukaryota, Viridiplantae, Streptophyta, Magnoliopsida, Asterales, Asteraceae.
UAAUUCGAAGAUGGGUACCGUUUUUUAUUUUCAAAAGAAUGUUCCGGUGAAGCACAUACAAGCCAACACAUAUAUGAGUAUGUGGAAUCUUGUAUUCAACAAGUUGGUCCUGAGAAUGUUGUUCAAGUUGUGACCGAUAAUGCCACAAAUAACAUGGGGGUAGCGAAGUUGCUAAAAGAGAAAAGACCAUCUAUUUUUUGGACAUCAUGUGCAACACAUACCAUUAACCUCAUGCUUGAAGGUAUCGGAGCACUCCCAAGGUUUAAGAAAAUCCUAGAUCAAGCAAAGAAACUAACCAUAUUCAUUUACGCUCACCACAAAACCUUGGUGAUGAUAAGAAGUUACACCAACAAAAGGGAAAUUAUCCGACCGGGAGUCACAAGAUUUGCUUCGGCCUUUCUAACAUUACAAAGUUUGUCCGAAAAAAGGAACAACUAAGACAUAUGUUCUCUAGCAACAAAUGGGAGGAAUGUAAAUUUUCCGGUAAGCCUAAAGGGAUCGCCUCAUAUAAAACGGUGACAAGUGUUCAAUUUUGGUCCGGUGUGACACAAUGUUUAAAAGUGUUCUCUACUUUGGUGAAAGUCCUUCGAAUGGUUGAUGCGGAUUGGAAGCCCUCAAUGGGUUUUGUUUAUGGGGAGAUUAAAGUUGCAAAAGAAGAAAUUAUCAAAUCUUUGGGUGGUAACGAGAAACACUACAAGCCUAUUAUAGAUAUCAUAAACACAAAGAUGAAAGGUCGACUAGAUUCAACUUUACAUUUGACAUCUUAUCUUUUGAAUCCGUAUUACCAUUAUAAUGAUGCACAACUCCAAUUUGAUCCCGAUGUAAUGGAUGCGGUUCUUGAUUUUUUUGAUACAUUAUUUCUUGGAGAUUUAGAGAUACAAAGGAAAGUCGUAACUAUUGACUUGCCAAAGUACAAGAAGAAGGUUGAUAGAUUUGGCUCCGAUCUUGCAAUUAAACAUUGUAAGGUGAAUGAUGCCGACUUUGAUCCGGGUAAUUCGUUUUCCUUUUAGUUAUCUAUUUAUCUAUUUUAUAAAAUUUUGAUAUUUAUCGAUUAAUAAUGUGUUUUUGUUUCAAAAUCAUAGCUAGUUGGUGGGGACUAUUUGGUGGCACAACUCCUCAUUUGACAAAGAUUGCAAUGAGGAUUCUUUCUUUAACUAGUAGUUCAUCAGGUUGUGAAAGGAAUUGGAGCACGUUUGAAGGGGUACACACAAAGAAACGAAAUAGAUUGGAGACAAGCAAAUUGAACAAUCUUGUUUAUGUUCAAUUCAAUGCUAAUUUAAUGGAGAAAAACAAAAAGAGAAAAGAUAGAAACAUAGAAGUGCUAUUAUCAAAUCAUUCUCUCUUCGCUCAAGAAUGGAUUGUUGAUUGCGAUGAUUGUGAUGUAGAUGAAGUAGACCCCAAAACGGUUGAUGAAACUCUUGAAACCGAUGUUAGUCAAGCACCCCGAGAAAGUCCAAAAACGAGGGAACUUUUUGAUGAAGAUUUUGAGUCCGAGAGUGAGGAUCAAGUGUUAGAAGAAGACGAAUAUGAGUCGGAUGGGGUUCAAAUAAUGGAAGUAUGUGGUGAAGAUUAGAAGAAAAUUGUUGUGCUUGUUAAAACUUAUUUUAAACUUUUAUGGACUUGUUGGAUAUGAUUUGGUGUGCUUGUUAAACUUAUUAUUAAACUUUUAUGUUUAUUUUGGAUGAUAAAUGGUUGUGUUU